Molecule: long non-coding RNA, 3268 nt
Organism: Pipra filicauda (Wire-tailed manakin)
Lineage: Eukaryota; Metazoa; Chordata; Aves; Passeriformes; Pipridae
Exons: 2
Source: RefSeq, a predicted model, not a curated record
UGCAAGCCUAGAGCUAUUGGAAACUCACCUGGCUUCAGAUGCCAUUAUAAACUGAGUUUGGUUCAGGUCACUGCGAGGGACAGGAAAUGUUGGAGCAGAAUCAAACUUUCUCUCUUUGGCAGGAACCACUUUUAAGCCCUGAUUAUUUAAAAUACAUCAAUUCAAACAUUUGGGGUGAAAUCCAUCACCAGGCUAAGAAGUGUAAAUGCAAGUAUCUACAUGUUGCUCUCUAAACGUCGAUGAGGUGUGUACACUUGCAUCACCUUUGGAGCAGGUCAAGCCAAUAUGACAGCCUAGAAAAUUAAAUAUUCAGCUGGCCUACCUUUGUGUGUCUAGUUUUAGGAGAGCUGAACUGCACAGGGUACUUAGGAGGUGGCAGCUGGAGACUAAAUUGAAUGACCUCAGGGUGUGUUAAAUGGCAUCAAACCUCCAUAUCAGGGGAGCUGAACAGACCUUUUUUUUUUGGUUUGUUUCCUGGAAUCAGUUUUACCACGUUCCACUCAUGUUGAACUUUCCUACCUACCUGGCAUUAGCCUUAAUCCAGUUUUACCUUACACAUCAGCAAGAUCAGAAUUAUUCAGUGGUGAGCAUCAUGGAUAAUCUAAUACACAUUUUAUUAUAGGAGAUUCCCUCAGAUUAAAUAAGCACAUUCACAUGAUGAAGCUUAUGAUCUUCCCCAACCACUUAGUUUCCUUCACUGGGGACUUUAACUUGUCUAUCUAAUUCUAAGAGAGAUAAUAAACAGUGUCCACAACUGAAAAGAUAACAAAUCUCAUCAUAAAUUAAUAAAGAAAGAAGUCCCCCCGUUCUCAUUUAACAGAGAGUGGAAAAGGACAGAGAACAAUUAAUGAGCAGUGACACUUAGGAGAUUUCCAGGUAUCCAGAAACAGAAUUGAGUCCUUUGAAACCUGUUUUUCUGCCUUAGCCACCAGCCCAUGUACUUCCUCAGACAUCUGCUAAGUUUCUCAGCAGUAACAACAAUUAGAAAAGGCACAGAAAUCACUUAAUUAAUCUCCAUAGAAUUUUUUGUUGUUUGGUAGGAUGUGGGAGAGAAGAAAUAAGAAAAGGAAGAGCAGAACUGAAGGAAGAAAAAAGACAAUAACCAAAUGUUUCAGGCAGUGGUCUAAGCUCUGAGGAACACAGGUUAAGUCACUGCUUGGCAUAAUUUACAGUAACUUGAGGUGAAAACCUCUUCAGGCAAAGUGAAUAUCCAUGAAUCCGACCUCCUCUGCUUUCAGGAUAGACAGACUUGCAUUUAGGGAUAAUCUUCUGCAAAAAUGUGGUUCUUAUAAAAAGAAAAAGGAGGCGACAGGGGACCUAAGGUAGUUUCAUAAACAUGAAAUUGUUGUCCUCCAUUCUUAUCAUCAGUGCUGAGCUCUGCUACCACAGAAAAGAUGAGUUUGCAGCAGCUCCCAUAUAUACUUAUUCUAAAGCUUGUACUAGGUCAUCUGCUGCUCUCAGCUACAGAUAUAUAUUGCAGUGGCAGCCAAAUAAAGGUCAUUUGUCAGAGCACAGUGAGAGUGGGGGUGAUUAUUGGGCCUUGAUUACAACUGUAAUACAAAUAAAGAAUAUUAAUAAGCUAAAUUACAUUCUGACUCCUUUUACUGUAGCUUUGCAAGAAGAAAAAAAAAGCCUACUAGAUUGUGAAGGCAUUUUACUAAUGGUUAAUGAAUAUUUAUUACUUUUGAAGUAGAAGGCUGUGUCAGGAUGCCACAUAGCCCUCUGUAUGAAUGGUUUAUUCUCGUAUUUUUCUUUCCAUCAACAGCCUUCAUCAUGAUCUGAAAGAAUUAUUCCUUCUUUUAAUUUCAGGCUGCAUGGAUAACAAAGAUUCUGUUUGGAAAGGCCUGGGAGAGAGCACAGCAUUUCCAAACUUCGUGAUAAAGCUGGUGAAAAAUCCCAAACAUCCCACUCUGUAUUUGGACCACUGGAGAUUGAGGACACUGGAAGGCAAAGUGACAUUCCCAGUGGUUCAUUAGAUCUAGGGGACAUGAAGAUGGAAAAAUAUCACAGAGGCUCAGCAAAUAUAUAAAUAUGAAAGACUGUGUAAGCCUGAAGGAAAGUUCUCACAGAGUUUGGAUGACUUCUGGCAAGGAAUUUUGAGAGAGACCUUAGAAGUUCCCUGUUUGGUUCCUACAACAGGGAAAAAAUGCAUAUAUUUACAUAUGCUUUGUGAUUAUUCUCUACAUAGUUGACCCAAACCAUGCACAUAAGUACAAAAAAUAUUUUAACUUCACUCCUAUAUGAAAGUCUUCCACGUGACACAAUCCUUGAUUAUAACACAGAAAUUAUUUCAAGGGUUGUAAAUCAGUUCCCUCUCCCCCAGAAGAGAUUUCUUGACAACCGUGUUAAAAAAUCAGGCUCCUCACUAUGUGUUGACUUCAUGACUGUUUUUUCUUUGGUCAUCCAUAUCCCAAGUUUAUAACCUCGUGGUUGGAAAAGUGCCCUAGGAAAUUGAAAAUGUGUAUAGGAGAUUUUGUAAGUUUAAGAGAAUUGAAACUCCCAGUUUUGGCAGGUAACAAGCUGGGCUGCAUAACUUUAAGGACACCAAGAAAAGUCUCUCCCUUUCUAUCAGACCAAGUGCCUAAAUUCCAGAAAGGAAUGAGAAGUCAGGUACAUGUGCUAUUAAAUGAUUGUAAACAGCCUUGUCUCUAGGCCUGGCUGGUUCCUUAUAGACAGCAAAUUUUCUGUGUUUUUUGUAUGAGGACAUUUUGGGUCAUGGUGCUAACUAUAAUUUUAUUCACACCUAAAUAUAACUAAAUAUGAAACAUUCAUAUAUGAUUUUUUUUAUUUUUUUUUACUACAUAGCUUUUGAUAUUCUUUACUUUGUCAUCAGAAAUCUCCUUUUCUGUUUGGUUCCCUGAUACUACAAGCUGCAAACCCAACACAGACUCUGAGCCUUCUCUUGUCUCCAUUCUGUAGUCAUGGAAUAAAAAUGUUAAACUGGCCAUUUGGGGCCAGGUUACUCUUCUAAUAGUAACUGUAUCAUGGAUUAUUUAGAAAAAUAUGUCUUUAAGAUGAUUCUGCUUACAGUGGCCCAUGAUAUAACUAAAGAGAAGAUUGUUUUAAAAUUAUUAUCAAUUUGGAUUCUCUAAAUAAAGGCACUUGAAGGUAUCCUGCUUUUCAGAGAACAGGACUUCACAGUCAUCUAAAAGUGGAAAUACCUAAAGUCAACAGUCUAUUUUCAAUACUUAGGCCUGACUUACCAGGGAAAACAAUCUUUAUGAGCAAUAAUGUUUGUUAAAAUAAAUCUUCAAAGCCUGUUGAGAUA